RNAcentral lists this long non-coding RNA (353 nucleotides) under Brassica napus (rape). RNAcentral describes it as "long non-coding RNA (BNAP_LNC001561)". Lineage: Eukaryota; Viridiplantae; Streptophyta; Magnoliopsida; Brassicales; Brassicaceae. The record is from RNAcentral.
GGAUGUCACGUGACAUUUAAAAGAACGUGAGGAAGGUGAUCAAACCUAAGGUUCAAUGAUAGCUUAAGAGCAAGACAUCGCUUAAAACCUUGAGACCACUUGGUCUUGACGGAACCACAACUCCGACGACAUGGCUACACCAACCGCUGACGCACAGCUCACUGCGGUAUAGAUCCACAACCGGUGGUGGUGAACGGAAACGAACUCGGCAACGCUCCUGCUUGGUCGCUCCUUCUUCCAUAUACAAAUGUAUCAACAAUCAUAGAAGAAGAAGAAAGGUGGGAAUGAAGAAGAAACAAAGAGAACGUGAGGGAAGAGAAGAAGAGAAAGACAUGGGUGGUGCAAGCAACGAC